RNAcentral lists this transfer RNA (73 nucleotides) under Bos taurus (domestic cattle). It matches the Rfam family "tRNA". Rfam says of the family: Transfer RNA (tRNA) molecules are approximately 80 nucleotides in length. Their secondary structure includes four short double-helical elements and three loops (D, anti-codon, and T loops). RNAcentral also lists the same sequence under 2 other names. The record is from Rfam by way of RNAcentral. Lineage: Eukaryota; Metazoa; Chordata; Mammalia; Artiodactyla; Bovidae.
UCUCUGAUGGGCCAGUGGUUAAGACUCUGCCCUGCCAAUGCAGGGAGUGCAAGUUUGAUCCCUGCUCAGGGAA